This 253-nucleotide ribosomal RNA is filed under the name uncultured bacterium. RNAcentral's name for it is "partial 16S ribosomal RNA". It matches the Rfam family "Bacterial small subunit ribosomal RNA", at positions 524 to 776 of the family's 1533-position model. The record is from RNAcentral.
UACGAAGGGGGCUAGCGUUGCUCGGAAUCACUGGGCGUAAAGCGCACGUAGGCGGAUUGUUAAGUCGGGGGUGAAAUCCUGGAGCUCAACUCCAGAACUGCCUUCGAUACUGGCGACCUUGAGUCCGGAAGAGGAGAGUGGAAUUCCUGGUGUAGCGGUGAAAUGCGCAGAUAUCAGGAAGAACACCCGUGGCGAAGGCGGCUCUCUGGGACGGUACUGACGCUGAGACGCGAAAGCGUGGGGAGCGAACAGG